Molecule: long non-coding RNA, 609 nt
Filed under: Oryza sativa Indica Group (long-grained rice)
Lineage: Eukaryota; Viridiplantae; Streptophyta; Magnoliopsida; Poales; Poaceae
Description: lncRNA OsMH63_07G001830
Source: RNAcentral
UUAAUCCAAGACAUAUCCACAGCCUUGUACCAACUGACAAGUGGGACCCCGGGUUUAUUCCUUUUUCCUACCGAAUUAUUUUUCAGUGCAAAAUUGCACAGGUGGGCCCGGCCUGUCAGUGGCUCGAAUGGAGGUCGUCUUCAACCUCCAGCCGGGCAGAGGCAGCCGCGCCAUGCGCGCUGGGCGCAGCCGGGAUGGCACGAGGCCGGCACGGCGGCGGCCGGGGAAGGUGCGGUGAGGUUCCGGCGACCUCCCACCACCUUCGGCGACGCGCGGCGGAGCGAGGGCGAGCGGCGCAGCAUGACCACCAUGGCUGAGCUCGGAUGGAGAGGAGGAGCUCCGGGAUGGCUUGUCCACGGCGAGCUCACCGGCGGCAAAACGGUGGCCGGACCGGCACGGCGACGGGGGGCUCUAGUUUCUACGGAACUAGGGGAGGCCAGAGGAGCGAGGACUUACCGAGGGAAGGAGGAACGACGAAGAUCGGCGGCGUUGGUGGAGCGGAGAAGAAGCUGCCGGCAUGCACACAAGGUGUUUGAGAAAAUGCAUACAAGGGAGAAGAAGAGGCAGAGAGGGGUGGACGAGCUCGUGGGGGCUCUUGGGGCCUUGUGA